AAAGGAUCAGAGAAUGAAUCUAGUACUGAAAGCAUAAACUACAGCUAGCUAGCACUGCAGUGCAUACAAUGUGGUAAAUAGUUGACUCAAAGAGAGAGAAAAACCAUAAUUUAACAGUUUUGAACAAAUACAUUUCUUCCAAAAUGAAGGAGAAGCAAGAGAGAGAUAGUGAGCGAGAGAUCAUUUUUUUCAUUUUCACUUACUUAGCUAGCAAAUGCAGCUAGCUAGUUUAGCCUACUCAAACACCCUGCUCAAACAGAGGGAUGCUAUGUUAGCUAACUGGCUAUGACUAUCCAACAUAACAAUGGAACUCUUCCAAGUCAAGCUGACCACAUCAUGGCAAUCUGGUGCUCCACGCCACAGUCGAUGACCUUGCACGCAACCAUUGGUGGAUGCAAGCAACGUCUGAGCAGGGGCACACCACCAAAACCUCUUCACAGAGGUGAAUUUGAGGAGGAAAUCUGAAGGAACAGAUGAGGAUGGAUCGGCCACACCCUUUGAACAUCACCACCCUCCAACAUCACCAAGCCAGCUCUAUCCUGGAACUCUUUAAGGUAAUCGGAAGCACCUUAAUAAGCCCACAAAACACCUAGAGGCAGGAGCUUAAAGCAGACACCAAAAGAUCCGGCAUGGGGUGGAACGAGAUUGAAAAGACUGGUCAGAACAGACUGAUGGAGAGGAGUCGUCGAGUCCCUUGGGAGCUACUGGCCUUAAUAAGUCAGUAAGUAAAUACAUUUGGACUUUCACUGAGGCUUUUGGAUUAUGACAGGGAUGCUUCGACAAGAGACCAGAUUCCAAAUUCCUGCUGAUCAGCUUUGAGUGAUGUACAGUUUCCCAGAUGUGAGCUAACCCCUUGACCAAUAUUAUUGCAGAAGACAGGGUUUUUCAUCUGCAAAUGGGAUUUUACCGCUGUCUGUCAAAUUACUACUAGACUUCCUCUACUGAUACAUUUUUGGGAUUCUGGCAGCCAUAGGCUCAGAGGCUAACCAGAUGAAAAUGGAAGUGGUGUAAUAAGGGUGUUUGCUAGACCAGAUACUCCUUGGCCUACAUUGGGUACACUUUUGAUAUGCUGUAUACCCCACAGAGAUCCUAUAUGUAUUCUAUGAUGUGCCAACUUUUUAAGAUAUUUAUAUACCAGCUGGGUUACCCACUUUUUGACCCAGGUUCUGGUUAUAAUGAUGUCAUUGCAACCAGUUUUGCCUGCUGGGUAGACCUCCUGCUGGGUAGAUAUUUGGGCUGCUUUCCUUCGCUUUUAAAGGCAGGACAGCUGUUCAGGAUCUCACUCGAAGCUGGCACAGAUGUAGCAGCACCACAAUCAGAAGAUAUUGGAGAUGAGUCACUUUCACCGUAUGACCUCAGUUGGUCAAAUUUUGGUUUGUUUGCUAUUCUUGUGGGGUCUUCUGGUUAACUGUAUAACUGCUGUCCUCCCUACACAGUUUAUACCAAAAGUGAAUUUUCAAACCUGAGCCAAUGAUAAACCUCUGAUCCUUGAUGUGUGGCACAUGGUCAAUUGAUUUCAGCCAUAUGGCUGGGGACAUUUCAUAUCCCCAUCACUAAGAACAGUACAGUGAUUUGACAGAACUGGCAGGUGAUAGCUGAGUUAAAAUUGAUGCUGACAACGUGGAAUAAGUGAGGGAACUGCAGUGUGGAAAUGAGUCUGACUGUUUCAAUCAGUAGUGUGGAUGAUCAGUGUUAUAACAUGAUUUAAAUGUAAAGGCAAUUUCAAUUGUUCUACAAUGCAGAUCUUCGGCGCUACGGAUUGAAUCCAGACGCUAAGGUUGUAUUGAUAGGCAGCCUACCUGGGGAAGCUGUCUUUGAGCCUCUUAGGCUGUGUUUACACAGCCAGCUCAAUUCUGAUAUUUUUUUCUGCACUUUUGCCAAUAAUUGGGCGAAAGAUCAGAAUUGGGCUGCGUAUGUAAACGCAGCCAGAGAGAGACAAAGAGAGAGGAUGUGAUGUGAUUGAACGAGGGUCAGUGGAGGAAAAAGCACCCAAUUUUCCUACUUGAGUGAAAGUGAAGAAUCCUUAAAUACGUCCACCGAGACACACACCACACACACACCUGUCUGUCCGAUCCUAUACUUCUCAGUUCAGCACCAUUAAUUAAAACAGAUAUUAGCUGUCAACAUGUAGGUCUGAAAGGCUCAUCGCUGGGUAAAUCAGACAGGGAGAGAGAGAGAGAGAGAGAUGGAAAGUGAAUGUAAUGAGCCUUACAAGAUGCAGUGCUGUAAAGGCUAUGCAUUAUAGAAGCCUCCAUCACCUCUGUCUGUCUGUAUUUCUGCAGCUUAACCACCCAGCUACAGUACCUCAGAUCUACAAGAUGUAAUUUAGCACCUUGGUCACAUUUUAUUAUGAAGAAAAACUAGCCUGUCAGCCAUGCAUUCAUUGGCAAAAGCAGCGCCUGUUGUUUGCUAUUGUUUUCAAUAAUUUGUACAAAUUGAGCAUGAUGCUAUUUUGAUUGCGGGACAAUGGGGUAUUCUUUGAGCCAACAAUGAAAUACGUUUUCAAAGGCAGUCACACAUCUCUGCCAGUUCUGGCCACCUGGGACAUUUUGUGGAGAGACUUUUUUGAAGCAAAUCAGAAAGAAAUAUAUAAUAGAUAUACACUGAGUGUACGAAACAUUAAGAACACCUGCUCUUUCCAUGUCAUAGACUGACCAGGUGAAUCCAGGUGAAAGCUAUGACCCCUUAUUGAUGUCACUUGUUAAAUCCACUUCAAUCAGUGUAGAUGAAGGGGAGGAGACAAGUUAAACAAUUAUUUUUAAUGCUUGAGACAGUUGAGACAUGGAUCGUGUAUGUGACAAGACAAAAUAAUUAAGUGCCUUUGAAUGGGGUAUGGUAGAAUGUGCCAGGCACACCGUUUUGUGUCAAGAACUGCAACGCUGCUGGGUUUUCCAUGCUCAAUAGUUUCCUGUGUGUAUCAAGAAUGGUCCACUUCCCAAAUGACAUCCAGCCAACUUGACACAACUGUGGGAAGCAUUGGAGUCAACAUGGGCAAGCAUCCCUGUGGAACGCUUUCAAAACCUUGCAGAGUCCAUUCCCCGACAAAUUGAGGCUGUUCUAAGGGUGCAACUCAAUAUUAGGAAAGUGUUCCCUUAUGUUUGGUAUACUCAGUAUACACAACCCAGCUAGCACAUUUGGUUCCUUGGAAGUUGUGGGAACAUACGUUUUUGGUUACAGGGAGGUUCUGAGAUCGUUUUACAAUUGUUCCCUGAACAUUUUUCUGUAAGGUUUUAUUAGCUUUCUGAGAAUGGGAAUUAUAGGUUAUUUAGAUUUGUUUUAAUAACUUCCUUAACUUUCACUGAAUGUUUCAAUAAGACUUUUAAAAACACUACUAGCUUAGUUUGUGUUAACUGUUUUGAACUCCAAGCACAGAUAGGACACAUGGAAAAUGUAUUUGCUUAGGCAUUAAUCAUGAAAACACAUUUCUGUGAUCUUCUGCUUUUUAUCUAUGGAAUUAGUCCACUGCGCCAUCAGGAUGGAGCUAGCGCCACCAGGAUGGAGUUAGAAUGCCAUGUUUUUUUAACAUACAAAGCUGUUAAUUUUAGUCUAUUAAAACAGACCCCAUUUCAAAGGAAAAAAGCACUCAUUAAGAUCAGGUGUGGUCAAUUAGUAGGCACGGCAAACACACCUGAAUACACUUAACAAGAUAAGAGGCUAGAAAGAGGUUUGUUGACGCUGAGAAUGGAAUGUAUGUUUUUCAAUAACAUUCUUAGAACGUUCUUUGAACGUUACACAUUUUUUGUGUGUUUUUUUAUGGAAAGUUUUCUUAAUGUUCUGAGAACAUGACUUUACAGUUUUUCCCAAUUGUUUACACACUAAAAUUGGAACUUGAAACGCAAUCACCGAAACCUGAAACUCAUGUAUCAAAUCCUUAAACCAAGUCUGCAAAAUUGCAAGCACAAUUCUUACUUUACAUUCAGUUUCAAUUCUAUAUCACACUUUUUGCAAAACACUACACAGAGUUCUCUACAUUAGGCACAACAUUCAAACUUAAAAUCUCUUUAGUCCCUUUGGAAAGCAACGCCAAUCACAAUGACACGCGCUGUACACCAAUUGGCAACACCCACUCCUCACAGGUGUAAACAUUAGUUGCUGAGUUGUUCACUUAGAAAUCAGAGCUUUAGCACUAUAAAAGGCCAUGAGCGCCUCCUGUUUUGGAGGAAAAUGGAAGUCAAUGGUGAAGCAAGAGCUAGAGGUGAAGGAGGAUGAGGACGGACAGUUGUCUCAGAUGAGAUUAGGGUCACAUUGGUUGACCAUGUGCUCAACCAUAUAUUGAGUAUGAGGGAGGCAGGGCAGAGAGUUCAGCCCAAACUGAGCCGCUACACGGUUGCAUCUAUCAUCCGUACAUUCAGAAAUGAAAACCUGUAAGUUACCUACCAUCUACACUAUGCUCUUUAUGUAUGUAUACUGUAAUCUGACAUAUCAGUAGGCCUAUGUUACACAGUGAUUGUUGGCCAGUAAUGUAAUUUCAUAUUGAAAGAAAAUAGAUUAUUUUAGCUUACUGUAACCAAUCAUAUUUGUGGAUCUUCUGAACUGAGUCGGCCAGACCAUGGUGGAAGACACCGGGUGUUCACACCAGAACAGGAGACCGCUAUUGUGAACAUGGUGGUGGCAAACCAUACCAUUAGACUAUGAGAAAUCCAGAACCACAUCAUUGCAGACAACACAAUAUUCAAUAACAUUCACCAGGCUUGUCUACAUUGGACCGUGUAUUACAGUGCAACUGAAUCCGGAUGAAACAGGUCUACAGGGUGCCAUUUGAGCAAAACUCAGAUGAGGUUAAAUAACAGCGCUAUGAAUAUGUGCAAAUAAGUACUAUACUGUGAAUUUACUAUCAUAUCAGCACUGUAUAGACACUUUACAGUACUGUAAUCCAGUGUAUUGUGCCUCACCAUAUUGACUGCUCUCUGUCUAUGUCACAUUGUUUGUCUGUUUCAGAGUCUUGGAGCUGGAUGCUGCUGCAAUUCAGCACGUUUAUAUUUACAUUGAGGCUGACUUCAACCUAGCCAAAAGAAGGGUAUGGGGACGGAGCAUUAUUGGCCAGCGUGCCUUUGUGAAUGUCCCUGGACAGCGUGGCGGGAAUAUCACCAUGUGCGCAGCAGUUAGCCAGCAAGGCAUCCUCCAUCACCAUGCCAACCUUGGUCCCUACAACACCGCCCUUCUCAUCACGUUCCUGGACACGUUACAUGGCAUCCUCAUUCCAGCCGAGCAGAGGGGUGGACCAGAGCAGCCCAGGUAUGUUGUCAUCUGGGACAACGUGAGUUUCCACUGGGCUGCUCUGGUCCGCAACUGGUUCAUCGACCACCCACAAUUUAUUGUUCUAUACCUCCCACCAUAUUCACCAUUCCUAAACCCAAUUGAAGAGUUGCAUGGCGAUGGCAGGUGUAUGACCGCUAUUCCCUCGCCUGGAGAAGAGGCAUGCGUGCAAUGGAGGAUGCAUGUGAUGAAGUUGAUGUGGGGGCUUUCGGCAGCUGGAUCCGUCACUCCAGAAGAUUCUUUCCCCACUGUUUAGCCAGGGAGAACAUCGCUUGUGAUGUAGAUGAGGUGCUGUGGUCAGACCAAAAUAGAGGCAGGAUGCUGCCUAAUGUCUUUAAUUACAUUUCGCAUGUGUUUGUCUUUUUCUGUUUAGAGUUUUGAAAGAAUGAGCCACUUAAAAAAAUAUAUAUAUAUUGUACAGAAAACCCUUCAUCUUACUCAAUGUUUCUCCUGUUGGGUAUGAAAGUGUUACAUACAAAACACAAGUGUUCAAAAAUACUGCAUUUUGGAAAUAAAUGUUUGUUACGGUAUUGUGUUUGUUGGGAUAUUUAUAGUGUUUUGUGUUGAGCACAUCAGUGUGUUGUUGGUAGACAGAUCUAUUCAUAUGACGCGUCAUUUUGAUACAAAAAAAAAAACAUUUGGGAAAGAAGUUUUGAAUGCAGUGUUUGCUUUUGCUAGAGUUUUGGGGAAAAUGGGCCAAAGAUUCAGCAAACGUGUGUAAACAAUUGAACUAUAAAUUGUUUUCUGCAGGUUUCAUGCUUCCAUCUGAGAACAUUCCCAAUGUCAAACCAGUCAGAAGGUUCCUAGAACAUUCUCAAAACCUAAAUUAAAUGUAACCAUGCUUGACCUUUUAGGAAACAUUCUGUUAGAGUAAUGACAUACCAAGAAAAUAACAUUUAUCAAGUUCCUUAAAUGUGCUGAGAAUUUUCCAAAGCCAAACAACUUUUCUGCAUCAUUCCCAGAACAUUGUGGGAAGGUUGUAUGUGUAACAAUGUGCGCUGAGAGUUGGGAAGCUAGUUCAGGGAGUGAGUGUUUCAAUAAACAGAACAUAAUACAAAACAAGAAACACUAACAGCACACAGACAUGAAACACCGCCUCGGGAAGGAACCAAGGAAAUCAGGGAGGUGAUGGAGUCCAGGUGAGUCUGACGCGCAGGUGCACCUGACGAUGGUGACAGCAGCCUGGUGACCUAGAAGCCGGAGAGGGAGCACACAUGACAGUACCCCCUUCCCGACAUGCCGAAUAAAAAUGACGAUCCCGGGGAUCAGGAGCGGACCGGUCACCUCUGCUAAGGCGCGGGAACCUGUCAAUCUGGCUGAGGUGUGGGAGCAUGGCGACCUAGAGCGCUGGAGAGGGCACACGUG
RNAcentral lists this long non-coding RNA (6621 nucleotides) under Salmo salar (Atlantic salmon). Its description in RNAcentral is "lncRNA (ENSSSAG00000084954.1)". The record is from RNAcentral. Lineage: Eukaryota; Metazoa; Chordata; Actinopteri; Salmoniformes; Salmonidae.